AGGCCUCCUUGUGAAAGCUAUUUUAGAAGACAUUGUAAAAGCUACUACCACUGCUGACUUCAAAAAAAUGAUGAUGUAUUCAGCACAUGAUAUUACAAUAAUUGCCCUCCAAUCAGCCCUGGAUGUAUAUGAUAAAAAGCUGCCUCCUUAUGCUGCCUGCCACAUUUUUGAACUCUAUCAAGAAACAAAUGGGCAAUACAGCAUUGAGAUGUACUACCUGACCGACAUUGCUAAAGAUCCUGUUCCACUCACACUGCCAGGCUGCACAAAGGCUUGCCCACUUGACAAGUUUAAAAAAUUGGUUCAGCCUAUCCUAGUAGAUGACUGGGCAGCAGAAUGCAAGAAACCAUAGGAAGCCAUUAUAAAUGGGAGAAGCAAAACUAAAGUCAAAGGAAGGACAAAACAGCAUCAGCAUCUUAAGAGGAAGGAAACAAGAUGCACAUUAAGUUAUGUAAUAGUAAAACAUG
Long non-coding RNA from Heteronotia binoei (common prickly gecko), 467 nucleotides. RefSeq lists it as uncharacterized. Lineage: Eukaryota; Metazoa; Chordata; Lepidosauria; Squamata; Gekkonidae. The record is from RefSeq and is a predicted model, not a curated record. The transcript is spliced from 4 exons.